CCUACGGGGUGCAGCAGUGAGGAAUAUUGGUCAAUGGACGAGAGUCUGAACCAGCCAAGUAGCGUGAAGGAUGACUGCCCUAUGGGUUGUAAACUUCUUUUAUAUGGGAAUAAAAUGUUCCACGUGUGGGAUUUUGUAUGUACCAUAUGAAUAAGGAUCGGCUAACUCCGUGCCAGCAGCCGCGGUAAUACGGAGGAUCCGAGCGUUAUCCGGAUUUAUUGGGUUUAAAGGGAGCGUAGGUGGAUUGUUAAGUCAGUUGUGAAAGUUUGCGGCUCAACCGUAAAAUUGCAGUUGAAACUGGCAGUCUUGAGUACAGUAGAGGUGGGCGGAAUUCGUGGUGUAGCGGUGAAAUGCUUAGAUAUCACGAAGAACUCCGAUUGCGAAGGCAGUUCACUGGACUGCAACUGACACUGAGGCUCGAAAGUGUGGGUAUCAAACAGGAUUAGAUACCCCUGUAGU
RNAcentral lists this ribosomal RNA (459 nucleotides) under uncultured bacterium. RNAcentral's name for it is "partial 16S ribosomal RNA". It matches the Rfam family "Bacterial small subunit ribosomal RNA", at positions 338 to 794 of the family's 1533-position model. The record is from RNAcentral.